This 765-nucleotide ribosomal RNA is filed under the name uncultured Streptococcus sp. RNAcentral's name for it is "bacterial SSU rRNA". It matches the Rfam family "Bacterial small subunit ribosomal RNA", at positions 28 to 776 of the family's 1533-position model. Lineage: Bacteria; Bacillati; Bacillota; Bacilli; Lactobacillales; Streptococcaceae. The record is from RNAcentral.
GACGAACGCUGGCGGCGUGCCUAAUACAUGCAAGUAGAACGCUGAAGAGAGGAGCUUGCUCUUCUUGGAUGAGUUGCGAACGGGUGAGUAACGCGUAGGUAACCUGCCUGGUAGCGGGGGAUAACUAUUGGAAACGAUAGCUAAUACCGCAUAAAAUGGAUUAUCGCAUGAUAAUCCAUUGAAAGGUGCAAAUGCAUCACUACCAGAUGGACCUGCGUUGUAUUAGCUAGUUGGUGGGGUAACGGCUCACCAAGGCGACGAUACAUAGCCGACCUGAGAGGGUGAUCGGCCACACUGGGACUGAGACACGGCCCAGACUCCUACGGGAGGCAGCAGUAGGGAAUCUUCGGCAAUGGACGGAAGUCUGACCGAGCAACGCCGCGUGAGUGAAGAAGGUUUUCGGAUCGUAAAGCUCUGUUGUAAGAGAAGAACGAGUGUGAGAGUGGAAAGUUCACACUGUGACGGUAUCUUACCAGAAAGGGACGGCUAACUACGUGCCAGCAGCCGCGGUAAUACGUAGGUCCCGAGCGUUGUCCGGAUUUAUUGGGCGUAACGCGAGCGCAGGCGGUUAGAUAAGUCUGAAGUUAAAGGCUGUGGCUUAACCAUAGUACGCUUUGGAAACUGUUUAACUUGAGUGCAAGAGGGGAGAGUGGAAUUCCAUGUGUAGCGGUGAAAUGCGUAGAUAUAUGGAGGAACACCGGUGGCGAAAGCGGCUCUCUGGCUUGUAACUGACGCUGAGGCUCGAAAGCGUGGGGAGCAAACAGG